GAACUGCAGGUCCCAGACUUCCUGGAGCAGUGAGGUUCCUUAGUGCAUGUUUAGUAACUUGUAAGUCAUUCUGCUCAAGGGGCUGAUGAAAUACCAGCCUCUUGCAGACUUCCUUUGGCUAAAGUAUUAGCUCACCACAGGACUCGGCACCCCCCGGGGGGGGGACGGAGAAGGGGAGUACUGGUCAAUAAUGCAUGAGCGCAAAAAGCCCUGGAAAUGUGCUUACAGCCAACUUGAAAUUCGAGAGAGGAUGAGUCAUUUGACAGCUAUCAGAUAAAAUAGCUCUUUAUCAGCGCUCACCCUCCGCAGAGACUUUCCACCACACAAGCUGCCUUUCCUCCCACCGGCCCUUCCACCUUCUAGGGAGAUUUUGUACUUAGAAAUCUUCAACAGAAAGAGUAUAGCUCUUCUCUUUAAAAAGGAGUAAAACAUACAAGCAUAAGUCAAACUUCUCACGAUUAUGAGGCACUGGUGACUUUUCUCCUGCUGCGGCGUAACUCACUCCUGAGCCAAGAUGUGGAGGCUGGUGGCUCUGUACACAGCAAAAUGCUUCCUGUUUUCUUCUGGCAGAAACUGGCAAAAGCUCCCUCCUGUCACUGCCUGCCAGUGGCUGAUAGCCUGGGCAGAGGAGUCAGCAAAAUCCAUGCUGCAGAAACUGAGUUACAUGCAGUCUACUGACGCCGACCCUGGAGUAAACAGCGCUACACACAGCGCCCCUGCCUCCCUGCUCCCCGCUCCCUUUGGGAGCAGCCUGUGUCUGCAGGAGCGGGGGAAACAGCUUGCUUCACUUCCUACAACUCUCGGUCACCAAAACUGUUCU
Molecule: long non-coding RNA, 820 nt
Organism: Cavia porcellus (domestic guinea pig)
Lineage: Eukaryota; Metazoa; Chordata; Mammalia; Rodentia; Caviidae
Exons: 3
Source: RefSeq, a predicted model, not a curated record